This 1707-nucleotide ribosomal RNA is filed under the name Triticum aestivum (bread wheat). RNAcentral describes it as "partial small subunit ribosomal RNA". The record is from RNAcentral. Lineage: Eukaryota; Viridiplantae; Streptophyta; Magnoliopsida; Poales; Poaceae.
AUGGCCGCCACGUCGUGCGCGCUAGUCUCGGCCCUCGUAGUCGGCCGGCGCCGCGGGCCGUCCUGCCAGCGCGCGGCGGCCGCCGGUGUGGUUCGAUGCUCGCUCGACAGCAAGGUCUCCGACAUGGCCAUCAACGCACCGAAAGGACUGUUCCCGCCGGAGCCUGAGCACUACAGGGGCCCGAAGCUCAAGGUCGCCAUCAUAGGUGCCGGCCUCGCCGGCAUGUCCACCGCAGUAGAGCUCUUGGACCAGGGACAUGAGGUUGAUCUGUAUGACUCCCGAACUUUUAUUGGCGGCAAGGUUGGUUCUUUUGUCGACAAGCAUGGGAACCAUAUCGAGAUGGGGCUGCAUGUCUUCUUUGGUUGUUACAGCAAUCUUUUCCGCCUCAUGAAGAAGGUUGGGGCUGAUAAUAAUCUACUAGUCAAGGAACAUACCCAUACUUUUGUAAAUAAAGGGGGCAUUGUUGGUGAACUUGAUUUUCGGUUCCCUGUGGGAGCUCCAUUACAUGGUAUCCAAGCAUUUCUAAGAACCAAUCAACUCAAGGUUUAUGAUAAGGCAAGGAAUGCAGUUGCUCUCGCCCUAAGCCCAGUUGUUCGAGCUCUUCUUGAUCCAGACGGUGCAUUGCAACAAGUACGGGACUUGGAUGAUGUAAGUUUCACUGAUUGGUUCAUGUCUAGAGGUGGUACUCGAGAGAGCAUCACAAGAAUGUGGGAUCCUGUUGCUUAUGCUCUUGGUUUUAUCGACUGUGAUAAUAUCAGUGCUCGAUGCAUGCUUACUAUUUUCACCCUGUUUGCCACAAAGACAGAGGCAUCUUUGUUGCGCAUGCUAAAGGGCUCACCUGAUGUUUACUUAAGUGGCCCAAUAAAGAAGUACAUAACAGACAGGGGUGGUAGGUUUCACUUGAAGUGGGGAUGCCGAGAGGUUCUCUACGAUAAGUCACCCGAUGGAGAGACCUAUGUGAAAGGCUUUCUCAUCUCUAAGGCUACAAGUAGUGAGAUAAUCAAAGCAGAUGCAUAUGUUGCAGCUUGUGAUGUCCCAGGGAUCAAAAGACUAUUACCAUCGGAAUGGAGGGAAUGGGAUAUGUUUGACAAUAUAUACAAGUUAGAUGGUGUUCCUGUAGUCACUGUUCAGCUUCGCUACAAUGGAUGGGUUACUGAAGUCCAAGACUUGGAGAAAUCAAGACAACUCCAAAAAGCAGUUGGCUUGGAUAAUCUACUCUAUACUCCAGAUGCAGACUUCUCCUGUUUUUCAGACCUUGCACUGUCAUCUCCUGCUGACUACUACAUUGAAGGACAAGGUUCCCUGAUCCAAGCUGUGCUAACUCCAGGUGAUCCGUACAUGCCAUUGCCAAAUGAGGAGAUUAUUAGCAAGGUUGAAAAACAGGUCUUAGAUUUGUUUCCAUCAGCCCGAGGCUUGGAAGUUACAUGGUCCAGUGUGGUAAAGAUCGGACAAUCCUUGUACCGUGAGGCUCCUGGAAAUGAUCCAUUUAGACCUGACCAGAAGACACCAGUUAAAAAUUUCUUCUUGUCUGGCUCUUACACGAAACAGGACUACAUUGACAGCAUGGAAGGAGCAACUCUUUCUGGCAGGCGAACAGCAGCCUACAUCUGUGGUGCUGGAGAGGAGUUAUUAGCCAUUCGAAAGAAGCUCAUUGUCGAUCACAGCGAGAAGGCCUCCGGGAUGGUUCAAAUGUUGCAAACAAGUUAA